GCCCGCGUACCGUACCUGUCUUGUAAACAGGUAGACGUAGAGGAUCACGCCAGUUCGAAUCUAGCCGCGGGCUCCA
RNAcentral lists this transfer RNA (76 nucleotides) under Brucella anthropi. Its description in RNAcentral is "Ochrobactrum anthropi tRNA-OTHER". Lineage: Bacteria; Pseudomonadati; Pseudomonadota; Alphaproteobacteria; Hyphomicrobiales; Brucellaceae. The record is from RNAcentral.